RNAcentral lists this ribosomal RNA (265 nucleotides) under uncultured bacterium. RNAcentral describes it as "partial 16S ribosomal RNA". It matches the Rfam family "Bacterial small subunit ribosomal RNA", at positions 1227 to 1500 of the family's 1533-position model. The record is from RNAcentral.
ACAAUGGCAGGUACAGAGGGAUGCUACCGGGCGACCGGAUGCGGAUCUCGAAAGCCUGUCCCAGUUCGGAUUGGAGUCUGCAACCCGACUCCACGAAGUUGGAUUCGCUAGUAAUCGCGCAUCAGCCAUGGCGCGGUGAAUACGUUCCCGGGCCUUGUACACACCGCCCGUCAAGCCAUGGGAGCCGGGGGCGCCUGAAGUCCGGGACCGCGAGGACCGGCCUAGGGCGAAACUGGUAACUGGGGCUAAGUCGUAACAAGGUAUC